Zonotrichia albicollis (white-throated sparrow) is the source of this 900-nucleotide non-coding RNA. Lineage: Eukaryota; Metazoa; Chordata; Aves; Passeriformes; Passerellidae. The record is from RefSeq and is a predicted model, not a curated record.
GUGACUGAGACAUCCCAGUUGCCAUUGCUUCUAGGCUCAUGGAAAUAGCAUGGAACAGCUCAGAGCACAUCUGACCUCCCAGGCCUGGGUGCAGCUGCCACUCUCUGCUGGCAUGUGUGUUGCAAUGGGGUCUGCAAGGCACAGUCCCUCUCCUAGAGGGGGACACAUCUGCUGAGAAAGGAAGGAAAUGUGCUGUGCUCCAGCAGGUCUGCUGGUCUGGAUAACUGGGAUUGCAACAGAAAGUGGGAAAAACAUCUGCCCUGCAAUGAAGACACAUGGAUUAUGAUACACGGAUGAAAAACUUCGGAAUGAUGAAAGCAACUUCUCUGGAAACACACAGCACUGCCACUGCCACGAGCAUGGGAGCAGAUGCAUUAUCCCACAAGCUGGUGUGGCUCUGCUGUGGAAAUACUGACUCCAUGGACAGUUGCUACUUUGUGGAAACCAUAUGAGGUCAGGAAGUACUACAGCAGUCCAAGUCUUUGCAUUCUGGGGAGAGAUGGGUUUCUGAAAACCAUGGCAGAAAUACUGGAGAGGCUUGGGAUAACCAAUUUCCUAGAGUAUGUGUAGACACAUCAGUCAGACUGCAGAUCUCAGCUCUCAAGGGUGGUGUUUAUCCAGCCACCAUCAGUUUGUCCAGGCCAGAUGAUGCCAAGGGAGAGGACUGGUUUUCACAAUACAACACAGCUGCAGCUCCAGCCUCCAGGAAGGGCAUGUUAUAGACCUUGCUGCAGAUGCUUUAAGCAACUUUGGUUUGAAGCUCUGCUGCCCAAAAGUCACGGCCUGGAGACCACUGACUCUUGACACAGCUGCUGAAAAACAGCCACAGUGUUUAUUGGUGAAUGACAGCCAAGGAUCUGCUGUCAGCAUUCCAGUAUUGUGAUGAGUGGAUUUAGCAGG